CCCAGUUCCAUACAUUCAAGGACAUGUUGGAAGAUCCCUAUUGAAGCGCGUUUGGCCUCCUUCUCAAUGGCACUGGGGGUGUUUUACAGCUUUGCUGGAAGACACACACACACACACACACACACACACAGCGGUUGUUGGCACUGGAAGUGUGUAAAAUACUGACCGAGUGUCCAGCGAUGAGAUUAGGAGCCCCACCCUCCCCAACAUACCAAUGCCACAAGUGGAGAAAUUAAACCCAAAUUUGUAAAGAAGGAUCAAGAAAAAAAAAAAAAAAAAAAAUCACACUGCAAAGAGUCCAGGAAGGAGUGUGUAACACACUUCCCCUUUGCUGUUGAAUACACUUCUUCAACUGACAGCACGACUACACGUGACACCAAGAAGGCGUCCUUCAGGAGAUCCAGGGCGUGUAGGCAGAGCGAAAUGUUCAGUGCACUUCUCCUUCCCUUUUGGGUGACUGAUGAGCACUUUGAGUAAUUUAAUACUGUGUUUUACCAUGUUCUGCCAGUAACACAAAUCCACUGUUAAAAAAGGAAGACAUAUAUAUAUAUAUGAUUCGAUUAUCCUCCUUCUGCUGCUGUUUGACAUGUUUGUAUUCUCCUGAUGUCCCCACUCAUACUGUCCGGUCUGGAUGGACUGCGCUGUUCGUCCAGGUGUUGGUCGGGGCGCGCGCGCGACAAGCAGGCCAGUUCCGUCUCUCCAGCGUCAGUCCGCGCGCGCAGAGGGGCAAAAACGGACAGUGAAAGGGGGAUCUGACAGACACCCACCCCCUUUCCAGCGUAGAGCCCACUUUAAAUCGCACCGUUUGAGUAAUUCGUGGAAUGACUGAUCGGAAAGGGCGAGCCCCGCGUGCACACCGGAUCCGCCCCGCAACACGCGCACCGCACUCCCGAGCCCCACCGCGUCGCACCCGAGCUCGUCCGAACACACAAACACAUCAUCAUCAUCAUCAUCAUCAGCGCGGCUGCGAAUUCAAGCUCCUUGGCAGCAGUUUGGACUGGAGCUCCUGUGGAAUAAAACCAAAACACAAGACUGCAACCCUGCAAGAUUCUGACACGAGGCACAGGACUUCAGGACUUUAACAUGGACAUCCAACGGCCAGGCAAAGGACACAGGCAUUGUGGCAUUAUCUGCCUAAGAAGCUGAGCUGACCAACACCUUGAUGCCUGCAGCAGCAGCCCUUCUUCUGCCCUGAGGGAUCAGCGGCAGGCAGGAACCCAAGAACCACAUGGGCGAUGAAGGAGGCAGGUAGGGGAGGGAAGCCCAGCAAGGACAGGACUUUCGGUCAAGGAUACACCAGCAGUGUUACCCUUUGAAGAAGCUCCAGGUGGAAAACCUUCUUUUACCAGUGGCUUGAGACGUCCAGCCUCACGCGUGUCACCCGUGCGUAAUGUUCCCUUUAUAUCAAUAUUAAAUAAAGUAAAUGGCACCAUGGUGCUAAGCCA
This 1445-nucleotide long non-coding RNA is filed under the name Scleropages formosus (Asian bonytongue). RNAcentral's name for it is "lncRNA (ENSSFOG00015032664.1)". Lineage: Eukaryota; Metazoa; Chordata; Actinopteri; Osteoglossiformes; Osteoglossidae. The record is from RNAcentral.